This 264-nucleotide non-coding RNA is filed under the name Dehalogenimonas formicexedens. Its description in RNAcentral is "T-box sequence". It matches the Rfam family "T-box leader". From Rfam's summary of the family: Uncharged tRNA acts as the effector for transcription antitermination of genes in the T-box leader family. Lineage: Bacteria; Bacillati; Chloroflexota; Dehalococcoidia; Dehalococcoidales; Dehalococcoidaceae. The record is from RNAcentral.
UUAAAAGCGUUGAUCCAGACGAGUAAACGUCAGGCGGGCUUCAGAGAGCCGGGUUAGGUGUGAGCCGGCAGUUGCGCGGGGGUUGAAUGGACUGGGGAGCUGCGGACCGAAAGAGAUUCGAGUAGGCUUCGCCGGGAAGGGCGCCGUUAAACGGCCCAGGGUAUCGUCUUAGACCGUACCCGACAAGAGAUUGAUUCUUUAGCCCUAAGGCUUUUGAAUCGAACCAGGGUGGCACCGCGAGGUAUUUGAGCCUUCGCCCCUAGU